RNAcentral lists this non-coding RNA (29 nucleotides) under Rattus norvegicus (Norway rat). Lineage: Eukaryota; Metazoa; Chordata; Mammalia; Rodentia; Muridae. The record is from RNAcentral.
UAUCUUGUUGAGGAAAUUUUCUCUGCUAA